CCUGAAUCCCAUCACAUCACAGCUCAGCAGCCAUGGCCCCGGAGAGAAAAAUGACUUUGCAAGAAUUGAGUCAGUUCAUUAGCAAGAGGAGACAGCAUCAGGUGACACAAGCAUGACAGUGUCUUAGCGGGGAAGGAACUGGAAGCUGGUUCUUUGAGGACAGAGGGAAGUGGCCUGCCUGGAUGGAGUUCAAUUCUAAGGUUGGAGGGAGGAUGGAACCUCAACACCACAUAGAGCCCAGGAGCACGGUUGCCGUUGGAGACACGGACAAGACAUAUCAGGGCCUGAGCCUGCCCCGGAAGCUCAGGGCAGAGCAGGCCUGCCGCAGACAGAGGACUGGCCUCCCUCUAAGGAAUGCCUGGCCCUGGGCAAGAAGCCAACGUGAGGGCAACUGCUCACAUCUGAAGUGCCCUGCUUGUCCGUGCUCCUGGAUUGCAAAGCCCUAGAGAGGGAGCCAUGAAAGGUGGCAGAUAGGACACCUCAUCUACAUACCAAGUGUCCUACUGGAUUGAAUUGUGUUGUAACACAAGCAGUGUGGCCUUUGUGGUAUACCGGACACAGUCUGCCUCUGACCUUUGCCACGUAUGAAGCCCUGGUCCGAGCAGAGACCAGGUGUGACGGUGAGUGUGUGGGUGGCACGUUCCCGCUGUGUCUAGGACCAGGGAUGACACUGAUCACACCUACCAAACCCUUUCUCCAAGCAUGGGCAUGGGGUGCACCAGCGCACCCUUCAAAGGACUCGGCGACUCAAUAAUAGUAUGGAGGAAGGGGAGCAGUUGAGCUUGGACUCAGCCACACUGACCUUCAGCCGGACUGGGGCUGUGCUGUCUCCAGGGGUACUUUUUGGAAACGAGAUCCAGGAAGGAGCGCCUGUCCAGACAACUUCUGCUUUUAGCCACAAAUCUCCCCGGAGGCAAGGAAGCCCACAGCCUGGCAACCGCUUCAAACGGGAUGGAAAACGGAGGAAAGCGCAUAAAUCAAAAUGCUAAUUUAUGGAGAUAAAAACAAAUUAAUAUGUUAAAAAGUUA
Molecule: long non-coding RNA, 1028 nt
Organism: Eptesicus fuscus (big brown bat)
Lineage: Eukaryota; Metazoa; Chordata; Mammalia; Chiroptera; Vespertilionidae
Exons: 3
Source: RefSeq, a predicted model, not a curated record